GCGCUGCGGACCCAGAAGCGGGAAGGCGGCGGCUGCCCGGCAGAUCCCGGGCUCCGGUACAACCUCCCCCCCGCCCCAGCCCCGCACAACGGCAGGCUUACGCGGACCCGGGGCUCAAGGGGUCCCGAGGCUCCCCGCUGACCGUGCCCUCCCUCCCGCUCCUCCCACGCGGCCCCACCGGGGCGCCCCGCUGCCCUUCACCCGCCCGGGGCCGCCCUGAGGCGCCUUACCCGCGUGAGGGGCGCGAGCGGCGGGGCCGGCUCCGGGCUGGCCGAGAAAGGGCGCGAAGCAGCAGGUGCCGCUCGGAAGGUGCGGAGAGCCUCGGCAGCAAAUCAGCGAACCGCGGCGGCAGCGAUGUCGAGCGGGGGGACGACAGCGUGAAGUUCUGAUGUUGCACAUCUGAAACUGCAGAUCCACAGUUUUUGAUGACGACUGGUCCACCACUGCGCUGCACCUGGUGUUCCUGAG
Strigops habroptila (Kakapo) is the source of this 468-nucleotide long non-coding RNA. RefSeq lists it as uncharacterized. The record is from RefSeq and is a predicted model, not a curated record. Lineage: Eukaryota; Metazoa; Chordata; Aves; Psittaciformes; Psittacidae. The transcript has 3 exons.